ACGGGUGAGUAAUAUAUCGGAACGUGCCCUAGAGUGGGGGAUAACUAGUCGAAAGACUAGCUAAUACCGCAUACGAUCUACGGAUGAAAGUGGGGGAUCGCAAGACCUCAUGCUCCUGGAGCGGCCGAUAUCUGAUUAGCUAGUUGGUGGGGUAAAAGCCUACCAAGGCAACGAUCAGUAGCUGGUCUGAGAGGACGACCAGCCACACUGGGACUGAGACACGGCCCAGACUCCUACGGGAGGCAGCAGUGGGGAAUUUUGGACAAUGGGGGCAACCCUGAUCCAGCAAUGCCGCGUGAGUGAAGAAGGCCUUCGGGUUGUAAGGCUCUUUUGUCAGAGAAGAAACGGUAGUAGCGAAUAACUAUUACUAAUGACGGUACCUGAAGAAUAAGCACCGGCUAACUACGUGCCAGCAGCCGCGGUAAUACGUAGGGUGCAAGCGUUAAUCGGAAUUACUGGGCGUAAAGCGUGCGCAGGCGGUUGUGUAAGUCAGAUGUGAAAUCCCCGGGCUCAACCUGGGAAUUGCAUUUGAGACUGCACGGCUAGAGUGUGUCAGAGGGGGGUAGAAUUCCACGUGUAGCAG
This 583-nucleotide ribosomal RNA is filed under the name uncultured bacterium. Its description in RNAcentral is "bacterial SSU rRNA". It matches the Rfam family "Bacterial small subunit ribosomal RNA", at positions 102 to 681 of the family's 1533-position model. The record is from RNAcentral.